UAUGGUAAUUGUUGCAGCCGCGGUAAUACGGAGGAUCCGAGCGUUAUCCGGAUUUAUUGGGUUUAAAGGGAGCGUAGGCGGACUAUUAAGUCAGCUGUGAAAGUUUGCGGCUCAACCGUAAAAUUGCAGUUGAUACUGGUCGUCUUGAGUGCAGUAGAGGUAGGCGGAAUUCGUGGUGUAGCGGUGAAAUGCUUAGAUAUCACGAAGAACUCCGAUUGCGAAGGCAGCUUACUGGACUGUAACUGACGCUGAUGCUCGAAAGUGUGGGUAUCAAACAGG
RNAcentral lists this ribosomal RNA (279 nucleotides) under Bacteroides cellulosilyticus DSM 14838. Its description in RNAcentral is "partial 16S ribosomal RNA". It matches the Rfam family "Bacterial small subunit ribosomal RNA", at positions 493 to 776 of the family's 1533-position model. The record is from RNAcentral. Lineage: Bacteria; Pseudomonadati; Bacteroidota; Bacteroidia; Bacteroidales; Bacteroidaceae.